Molecule: ribosomal RNA, 467 nt
Filed under: uncultured bacterium
Lineage: Bacteria
Description: partial 16S ribosomal RNA
Rfam family: Bacterial small subunit ribosomal RNA
Source: RNAcentral
ACGAACGCUGGCGGCGUGCUUAACACAUGCAGGUCGAACGGAAAGGCCCUGCUUUUGUGGGGUGCUCGAGUGGCGAACGGGUGAGUAACACGUGAGUAACCUGCCCUUGACUUUGGGAUAACUUCAGGAAACUGGGGCUAAUACCGGAUAGGAGCUCCUGCUGCAUGGUGGGGGUUGGAAAGUUUCGGCGGUUGGGGACGGACUCGCGGCUUAUCAGCUUGUUGGUGGGGUAGUGGCUUACCAAGGCUUUGACGGGUAGCCGGCCUGAGAGGGUGACCGGCCACAUUGGGACUGAGAUACGGCCCAGACUCCUACGGGAGGCAGCAGUGGGGAAUAUUGCACAAUGGGCGGAAGCCUGAUGCAGCAACGCCGCGUGCGGGAUGACGGCCUUCGGGUUGUAAACCGCUUUCGCCUGUGACGAAGCGUGAGUGACGGUAAUGGGUAAAGAAGCACCGGCUAACUACGUG